Molecule: unclassified non-coding RNA, 492 nt
Filed under: Hevea brasiliensis (rubber tree)
Lineage: Eukaryota; Viridiplantae; Streptophyta; Magnoliopsida; Malpighiales; Euphorbiaceae
Source: RNAcentral
GUUCUUAUAUAGUUAAUGUAUUUAUUUAAUUGUAUACAUUUUAAUAUCUUCAAUAUUAAUUAAAUUGAUCACAUUGCAUUUUGGUUGCUUCUUCUUCUUUAAAGAUCUACGAGAUUGUAUUUUAAACCAUUAUUUUUGGUUCUUCCUGCUUGUUACUACAUGAAUAAAAUAUUAUAUUUAUCCGUCCAUGAUCACCCAUGUCUGCUUUCUUAAGCUCCCUCUCUUCCUGCAUUAUCUCGUCAAUCUCUCCAAAAUGGAAAAGCCCCUCAAUUCAGUGACUUGUUUACGUGCAACUCAGCUUCUGUUUAUAAUCUGUGUUUUCUUCACGUCCGCAUAGCCGUGCGCCGUAGCUGUUGCUACACAGGAGCUUCUUGUAGGCUUCAGAGCCACGCCUAACCCUUCAGUCUCGUCAUUUCAAUCUCUCCUAAACGACUCAACAAGCAAUUUCUCCCUCGGUUAUUCACCUCCCUUCUCAGCAACCACUAUGGCACU